RNAcentral lists this ribosomal RNA (589 nucleotides) under uncultured bacterium. RNAcentral's name for it is "partial 16S ribosomal RNA". It matches the Rfam family "Bacterial small subunit ribosomal RNA", at positions 355 to 1376 of the family's 1533-position model. The record is from RNAcentral.
UGGGGAAUAUUGGACAAUGGGCGCAAGCCUGAUCCAGCAAUGCCGCGUGUGUGAAGAAGGCCUUCGGGUUGUAAAGCACUUUUAUCAGGAGCGAAACGCUGUCGGCUAAUACCCGGCGGAACUGACGGUACCUGAGGAAUAAGCACCGGCUAACUUCGUGCCAGCAGCCACGGUAAUACGAAGGGUGCAAGCGUUAAUCGGAAUUACUGGGCGUAAAGCGUGCGUAGGCGGUUUCUUAAGUCUGCUGUGAAAUCCCCGGGCUCAACCUGGGAAUGGCAGUGGAUACUGGGAGGCUAGAGUGUGUCAGAGGGUGGUGGAAUUCCCGGUGUAGCGGUGAAAUGCGUAGAGAUCGGGAGGAACAUCAGUGGCGAAGGCGGCCACCUGGGACAACACUGACGCUGAGGCACGAAAGCGUGGGGAGCAAACAGGAUUAGAUACCCUGGUAGUCCACGCCCUAAAGCGAUGCGAACUGGAUGUUGGUCUCAACUCGGAGAUCAGUGUCGAAGCUAACGCGUUAAGUUCGCCGCCUGGGGAGUACGGUCGCAAGACUGAAACUCAAAGGAAUUGACGGGGUCAUAGCUGUUUCCUG